UCGAACGGCACCUAUCUUCGGAUAGAAGCGAGUGGCGAACGGCUGAGUAACACGUGGAGAACCUGCCCCCUCCCCCGGGAUAGCCGCCCGAAAGGACGGGUAAUACCGGAUACCCCGGGGUGCCGCAUGGCACCCCGGCUAAAGCCCCGACGGGAGGGGAUGGCUCCGCGGCCCAUCAGGUAGACGGCGGGGUGACGGCCCACCGUGCCGACAACGGGUAGCCGGGUUGAGAGACCGACCGGCCAGAUUGGGACUGAGACACGGCCCAG
This 269-nucleotide ribosomal RNA is filed under the name uncultured bacterium. Its description in RNAcentral is "partial 16S ribosomal RNA". It matches the Rfam family "Bacterial small subunit ribosomal RNA", at positions 62 to 334 of the family's 1533-position model. The record is from RNAcentral.